UACGUAGGUGGCAAGCGUUAUCCGGAUUUAUUGGGUGUAAAGGGCGUGUAGGCGGGAAUGCAAGUCAGAUGUGAAAACUCAGGGCUCAACCCUGAGCCUGCAUUUGAAACUGUAUUUCUUGAGUGCUGGAGAGGCAAUCGGAAUUCCGCGUGUAGCGGUGAAAUGCGUAGAUAUACGGAGGAACACCAGUGGCGAAGGCGGAUUGCUGGACAGUAACUGACGCUGAGGCGCGAAAGCGUGGGGAGCAAACAGG
RNAcentral lists this ribosomal RNA (253 nucleotides) under uncultured bacterium. Its description in RNAcentral is "partial 16S ribosomal RNA". It matches the Rfam family "Bacterial small subunit ribosomal RNA", at positions 524 to 776 of the family's 1533-position model. The record is from RNAcentral.